UAAUUGAAGAGUUUGAUCAUGGCUCAGAUUGAACGCUGGCGGCAGGCCUAACACAUGCAAGUCGGGCGGUAACAGGGAGAAGCUUGCUUCUCUGCUGACGAGCGGCGGACGGGUGAGUAAUGUAUGGGGAUCUGCCUGAUGGCGGGGGAUAACUACUGGAAACGGUAGCUAAUACCGCAUAAUGUCUUCGGACCAAAGCGGGGGACCUCCGGGCCUCGCGCCAUCAGAUGAACCCAUAUGGGAUUAGCUGGUAGGUAAGGUAACGGCU
Molecule: ribosomal RNA, 268 nt
Filed under: Morganella morganii
Lineage: Bacteria; Pseudomonadati; Pseudomonadota; Gammaproteobacteria; Enterobacterales; Morganellaceae
Description: partial 16S ribosomal RNA
Rfam family: Bacterial small subunit ribosomal RNA
Source: RNAcentral